Long non-coding RNA from Serinus canaria (Common canary), 289 nucleotides. RefSeq lists it as uncharacterized. Lineage: Eukaryota; Metazoa; Chordata; Aves; Passeriformes; Fringillidae. The transcript has 2 exons. The record is from RefSeq and is a predicted model, not a curated record.
GGUGUUUAAAGAGCUUGAGACAAAACUGCCGAGCAGAAUAUUCCAGUUUAUCCCGUGGAAUAGGAAGGAAUGGCCCCAGACAUAAUUACAAGAGAAAUUCACAGAGCCCAGUGCAAAGAGUGCAGAACAACCCAGAAGAGCCAGGGGCAAAAUAUGAUGGAGGAUUCCCAAUGCCACUGAGUGCCCAGUCUGCUCCCACCCCUGGACAGAAAUCUUGGCUGCCUCAGGGAUGCAGUUUGCAACCCCUGUGCUCCAACACUUGUAAAUAAAGGCCUUUUUAUCUUUGGGA